GGAGGUUAGGUUUACCGAGUUAUCCAACUCCCAACCCCUGUGAAUUAUACCUUUAAUUGUUGCUUCGGCGGGACUUCGCGCCCGCCGGGGACCCAAACCUUCUGAAUUUUUUAAUAAGUAUCUUCUGAGUGGUUAAAAAAAUGAAUCAAAACUUUCAACAACGGAUCUCUUGGUUCUGGCAUCGAUGAAGAACGCAGCGAAAUGCGAUAAGUAAUGUGAAUUGCAGAAUUCAGUGAAUCAUCGAAUCUUUGAACGAACGCAUUGCGCCCGUCAGUAUUCUGGCGGGCAUGCCUGUUCGAGCGUCAUUACGCCCCUCAAGUCCCCUGUGGGACUUGGAAGUAGUUUAUGCGUAGACUAUGAUUGGCCCAGGGAUCGGCGAGGCUGGCUUUCCAGCACAGCCGUCCCUUAAAUUAAUUGGCGGUCUCGCCGUGGCCCUCCUCUGCGCAGUAGUAAAGCACUCGCAACAGGAGCCCGGCGCGGUCCACUGCCGUAAAACCCCCCAACUUUUUAUAGUUGACCUCGAAUCAGGUAACU
RNAcentral lists this ribosomal RNA (534 nucleotides) under Metarhizium anisopliae. RNAcentral describes it as "partial 18S ribosomal RNA". The stretch from base 150 to 305 matches the Rfam family "5.8S ribosomal RNA". Lineage: Eukaryota; Fungi; Ascomycota; Sordariomycetes; Hypocreales; Clavicipitaceae. The record is from RNAcentral.